RNAcentral lists this ribosomal RNA (468 nucleotides) under uncultured bacterium. Its description in RNAcentral is "partial 16S ribosomal RNA". It matches the Rfam family "Bacterial small subunit ribosomal RNA", at positions 28 to 507 of the family's 1533-position model. The record is from RNAcentral.
GAUGAACGCUGGCGGCGUGCCUAACACAUGCAAGUCGAACGGACAGGCGCUGCUUUUGCUGGGUGCUCGAGUGGCGCACGGGUGUGUAAAACGUGAGUAACCUGUCCCUGUCUUUGGGAUAUCUUUAGGGAAAUGGGGCUCUUACCGCAUAGGAGCUCUUGAUGCACGGUGGGCGUUGGUAAGAUUCGGCGGUUGGGGCUGGUAUCGCGGCUUAUCAGCUUGUUUGUGGAGUAGUGGCUUACCAAGGCUACGAAGGCUAGCCGACCUGAGCGGGGGACCGGCGACAAGAGUACUGAGAGACGGCCCAGACGCGUACGGGAGGCAACAGUGGAGAGUAUGGCGCAAUGGGCGGAAGCCAGAUACAGCGACGCCGCGUGCGGGAUGACGGCCUUCGGGUGAUGAACCGCUUUGGACUGUGACGAAGCGUGAGUGACGGUAAUGAGUAAAGAAGCACCGGCUAACUACGUG